UUGGCAAAGCUUGAUUCCUAGGAAGGUGAGGAAUGGAAGAUUAGGGUAGUUUCCAUCGUGAAUAAGGAAGCGGCCAGACUGUUCUGUUCCUGGGAAAUUAUUGGGCCAGCCACAAUCACAUGACCGGAAAAGUGCGAUCGUUUCCUGCGGAUUAGCUUCGAAGAAGGUUAUUUGGGGUACAGUAUUGGCUAACACGGAGGUUGAAUGAUGGAUGGAUUGAUACAGUGUAAGUGUAGCAUACGACUUUAAGAGGACUAACUUUUAAAAAAGGCACAAAUUAGUGAGCAAACUCUUCUACUGGCUGGAAAUUAAGGAAAGAAAGUAAGGGAACAGAGAAAAAUAUGCUGCUGAGCAUGAAAUGAUGUACUAUACAGACUUGGAACAUAGUCAUUUGCAUUUUUACUUGGAAGUAGGGCUGGAAAGUUUCUCUGCCUGAAACCCUCGAGACUUAUAAAGCCCAAAUUAGUCUGCUGGUCUUUAAGAUGCCACAAGACCUCAAAAACAGGAGCAGUGUCCAUGCCACCACACACCAUUCUCCUAUUACUGGCAGUGGUGCUACCAGAAAGACAGCGUGUGGCUCAGCUUCAGCUUCUCAGGUCGGCCAGCUUCACCUGGAAAAACUCUACUGUUAUAAGGCAUUCACUAGUCUGCAGAAUCUGUGGGACAGGUGAGGACCACAAAUGUUGCUCCUGCCAACUUUUGGUAGGAAAGAGUUCUAGAACUACACUCAUCUCUGGAACAUACUUUCAAUCCCAGGGUUCUGCCCCAGAAC
Rhineura floridana is the source of this 772-nucleotide long non-coding RNA. RefSeq lists it as uncharacterized. The record is from RefSeq and is a predicted model, not a curated record. The transcript is spliced from 3 exons. NCBI's taxonomy places the organism in Eukaryota, Metazoa, Chordata, Lepidosauria, Squamata, Rhineuridae.